UCGGGAAUUUUGGGCAAUGGGCGAAAGCCUGACCCAGCAACGCCGCGUGAAGGAUGAAGUAUUUCGGUAUGUAAACUUCGAAAGAAUAGGAAGAAUAAAUGACGGUACUAUUUAUAAGGUCCGGCUAACUACGUGCCAGCAGCCGCGGUAAUACGUAGGGACCAAGCGUUGUUCGGAUUUACUGGGCGUAGAGGGCGCGUAGGCGGCAAUUCAAGUCAUCUGUGAAAUCUCCGGGCUUAACUCGGAACGGUCAGAUGAUACUGCUUUGCUAGAGUGCAGAAGGGGCAAUCGGAAUUCUUGGUGUAGCGGUGAAAUGCGUAGAUAUCAAGAGGAACACCUGAGGUGAAGACGGGUUGCUGGGCUGACACUGACGCUGAGGCGCGAAAGCCAGGGGAGCAAACAGGAUUAGAUACCCCCGUAGUCCCUGAGCGGGCUGGCAAGGCGCAU
RNAcentral lists this ribosomal RNA (447 nucleotides) under uncultured bacterium. RNAcentral's name for it is "bacterial SSU rRNA". It matches the Rfam family "Bacterial small subunit ribosomal RNA", at positions 355 to 825 of the family's 1533-position model. The record is from RNAcentral.